UGGGGAAUUUUGGACAAUGGGCGAAAGCCUGAUCCAGCAAUGCCGCGUGCAGGAUGAAGGCCUUCGGGUUGUAAACUGCUUUUGUACGGAACGAAAAAGCUCCUUCUAAUACAGGGGCCAUGCACGGUACCGUAAGAAUAAGCACCGGCUAACUACGUGCCAGCAGCCGCGGUAAUACGUAGGGUGCGAGCGUUAAUCGGAAUUACUGGGCGUAAAGCGUGCGCAGGCGGUUAUGUAAGACAGAUGUGAAAUCCCCGGCUCAAGCCUGGAACUGCAUUGUGACUGCAUGGCUAGAGUACGGUAGAGGGGGAUGGAAUUCCGCGUGGU
This 327-nucleotide ribosomal RNA is filed under the name uncultured Delftia sp. RNAcentral describes it as "bacterial SSU rRNA". It matches the Rfam family "Bacterial small subunit ribosomal RNA", at positions 355 to 677 of the family's 1533-position model. Lineage: Bacteria; Pseudomonadati; Pseudomonadota; Betaproteobacteria; Burkholderiales; Comamonadaceae. The record is from RNAcentral.